This 440-nucleotide ribosomal RNA is filed under the name uncultured bacterium. RNAcentral describes it as "partial 16S ribosomal RNA". It matches the Rfam family "Bacterial small subunit ribosomal RNA", at positions 338 to 795 of the family's 1533-position model. The record is from RNAcentral.
CCUACGGGUGGCUGCAGUGAGGGAUAUUGGUCAAUGGGGGAAACCCUGAACCAGCAACGCCGCGUGAGGGAAGACGGUUUUCGGAUUGUAAACCUCUGUCCGCAGUGAAGAUAAUGACGGUACCAGAGGAGGAAGCUCCGGCUAACUACGUGCCAGCAGCCGCGGUAAUACGUAGGGAGCAAGCGUUGUCCGGAUUUACUGGGUGUAAAGGGUGCGUAGGCGGCUUUGCAAGUCAGGAGUGAAAUGCAUGGGCUUAACCCCGGGACUGCUUUUGAAACUGCAGGGCUUGAGUGGAGGAGAGGUAGGCGGAAGUCGUGGUGUAGCGGUGAAAUGCGUAGAGAUCAGGAGGAACACCAGUGGCGAAGGCGGCCUACUGGGCUCUAACUGACGCUGAGGCACGAAAGCGUGGGUAGCAAACAGGAUUAGAUACCCCGGUAGUC